Molecule: ribosomal RNA, 564 nt
Filed under: uncultured Glomeromycotina
Lineage: Eukaryota; Fungi; Glomeromycota
Description: SSU rRNA
Rfam family: Eukaryotic small subunit ribosomal RNA
Source: RNAcentral
UUGGAGGGCAAGUCUGGUGCCAGCAGCCGCGGUAAUUCCAGCUCCAAUAGCGUAUAUUAAAGUUGUUGCAGUUAAAAAGCUCGUAGUUGAAUUUCGGGAUCAAAUUGUCGGUCGUGCCUCGGUACGCACUGGUAUUAUUGGUUCCUACCUUCUGAAGAACCGCGAUGUCAUUAAUUUUGUGUCGUGGGGAAUCAGGACUGUUACUUUGAAAAAAUUAGAGUGUUUAAAGCAGGCUUACGCUUGAAUACAUUAGCAUGGAAUAAUGAAAUAGGACGUUUGAUUCUAUUUUGUUGGUUUCUAGGAUUGACGUAAUGAUUAAUAGGGAUAGUUGGGGGCAUUAGUAUUCAAUUGUCAGAGGUGAAAUUCUUGGAUUUAUUGAAGACUAACUACUGCGAAAGCAUUUGCCAAGGAUGUUUUCAUUAAUCAAGAACGAAAGUUAGGGGAUCGAAGACGAUCAGAUACCGUCGUAGUCUUAACCAUAAACUAUGCCGACUAGGGAUUGGAUGAUGUUAAUUUUUUAAUGACUCAUUCGGCGCCUUACGGGAAACCAAAGUGUUUGGGUUC